UACGGGGGGGGCAAGCGUUGUUCGGAAUUACUGGGCGUAAAGCGUGCGCAGGCGGUUUUGUAAGACCGAUGUGAAAUCCCCGGGCUUAACCUGGGAACUGCAUUGGUGACUGCAAGGCUAGAGUGUGUCAGAGGGAGGUGGAAUUCCGCGUGUAGCAGUGAAAUGCGUAGAGAUGCGGAGGAACACCGAUGGCGAAGGCAGCCUCCUGGGAUAACACUGACGCUCAUGCACGAAAGCGUGGGGAGCAAACAGG
Molecule: ribosomal RNA, 253 nt
Filed under: uncultured bacterium
Lineage: Bacteria
Description: partial 16S ribosomal RNA
Rfam family: Bacterial small subunit ribosomal RNA
Source: RNAcentral